Cavia porcellus (domestic guinea pig) is the source of this 298-nucleotide regulatory RNA element. It matches the Rfam family "Mason-Pfizer monkey virus packaging signal". Rfam says of the family: The packaging signal is located in the 5' UTR and is required for specific RNA encapsidation. The record is from Rfam. NCBI's taxonomy places the organism in Eukaryota, Metazoa, Chordata, Mammalia, Rodentia, Caviidae.
UGGCGCCCAGCGUGGGGCACCUGGCACAGAGGAUCCAAUGAGGGAGCCGUCCAGGGACACGCACGUAAAAAGUGAAACUAACAGUUUUGUGACCAACGCUAUGCGGGAGCCUGCCGCGCUGCUUGAGUCAUAGUAAGUGUAUGGCAAUCCUUUUCCCUUUUUUCCGGCAUGGGUCAAGCAUUAAGUGAUCACAAACUUUUCGUGGGAAGCCCAACUAAGGGGUUAAAGACAAGAGGGAUUAAGGCUAAAGAAAAAGAUUUACUACAAUAUUUUCAAUUUAUUUAUAAGGUUUGCCCUU